AGUGAACGCUGGCGGUAGGCCUAACACAUGCAAGUCGAACGGCAGCACAGGAGAGCUUGCUCUCUGGGUGGCGAGUGGCGGACGGGUGAGGAAUACAUCGGAAUCUACUCUGUCGUGGGGGAUAACGUAGGGAAACUUACGCUAAUACCGCAUACGACCUACGGGUGAAAGCAGGGGACCUUCGGGCCUUGCGCGAUUGAAUGAGCCGAUGUCGGAUUAGCUAGUUGGCGGGGUAAAGGCCCACCAAGGCGACGAUCCGUAGCUGGUCUGAGGGGAUGAUCAGCCACACUGGAACUGAGACACGGUCCAGACUCCUACGGGAGGCAGCAGUGGGGAAUAUUGGACAAUUGGCGCAAGCCUGAUCCAGCCAUACCGCGUGGGUGAAGAAGGCCUUCGGGUUGUAAAGCCCUUUUGUUGGGAAAGAAAUCCAGCUGGCUAAUACCCGGUCGGGAUGACGGUACCCAAAGAAUAAGCACCGGCUAACUUCGUGCCAGCAGCCGCCGUAA
This 506-nucleotide ribosomal RNA is filed under the name uncultured bacterium. RNAcentral's name for it is "partial 16S ribosomal RNA". It matches the Rfam family "Bacterial small subunit ribosomal RNA", at positions 29 to 523 of the family's 1533-position model. The record is from RNAcentral.